RNAcentral lists this ribosomal RNA (896 nucleotides) under uncultured archaeon. RNAcentral's name for it is "bacterial SSU rRNA". It matches the Rfam family "Archaeal small subunit ribosomal RNA", at positions 21 to 903 of the family's 1478-position model. The record is from RNAcentral.
ACCGACUGCUAUUUGGGUGAGGAUAAGCCAUGCGAGUUGAAUGGGAAACCUAAAAAUCCCAUGGCAAACUGCUCAGUAACACAUGAUCAACUUACCCUAUAGAGGAAAAUAACCUCGGGAAACUGAGGAUAAUGUUCCAUAGUUGAAUCGGCUUGGAAAAGUUUUUCAAUAAAAGGGAUAAGGAAAAUGGUUCUUAUCUGCUAUAGGAUAGGAUCGUGCUCGAUUAUGGUUGUUGGUGAGGUAAAGGCUCACCAAGCCGAUAAUCGAUAGGGGCCGUGAGAGCGGGAGCCACGAGAUGGGUACUGAGACAACGACCCAGGCCUUACGAGGCGCAGCAGGCGCGAAACCUCCGCAAUACACGAAAGUGUGACGGGGUUACCCAAAGUGUUCUAUUUAGAACUGUGGUAGGUGAGUAAUGUCCCCUACUAGAAAGGAGAGGGCAAGGCUGGUGCCAGCCGCCGCGGUAAAACCAGCUCUUCAAGUGGUCGGGAUAAUUAUUGGGCUUAAAGUGUCCGUAGCCGGUUUAGUAAGUUCCUGGUAAAAUCGGGUAGCUUAACUAUCUAUAUGCUAGGAAUACUGCUAUACUAGAGGGCGGGAGAGGUCUGAGGUACUACAGGGGUAGGGGUGAAAUCUUAUAAUCCUUGUAGGACCACCAGUGGCGAAGGCGUCAGACUGGAACGCGCCUGACGGUGAGGGACGAAAGCCAGGGGAGCGAACCGGAUUAGAUACCCGGGUAGUCCUGGCCAUAAACGAUGCAUACUAGGUGAUGGCACGGCCAUGAGCCGUGUCAGUGCCGUAGGGAAACCGUUAAGUGUGCCGCCUGGGAAGUACGGUCGCAAGGCUAAAACUUAAAGGAAUUGGCGGGGGAGCACCACAAGGGGUGAAGCCUGCGGUUC